RNAcentral lists this long non-coding RNA (565 nucleotides) under Mytilus galloprovincialis (Mediterranean mussel). The record is from RNAcentral. Lineage: Eukaryota; Metazoa; Mollusca; Bivalvia; Mytilida; Mytilidae.
ACAAAUUCAAAUUCAAAUAUAUUUUAUUGCUAAUCAAAGCGCCCACAAGGAGCAGAACAAUCAACAUUAAUUACAUACAAAUGAUUACAAGUGAUUCAAUAUGAUUAACACAAAAUGUUAUAAAAAAAAAACCAAAAAAAUAACCAAACCAAAAAAUAUUUAUUAAGACAAGUACAAGAAUACAACAAGCACAGUGUUUAAUAACAUAAGGGGGUGACUGGGCAUUUUUAUAUCUAUAUAUCAUUUAAGGAAACUUUCCUAUAUGAGGAUAAAUUUUCAAAUAAUUCUCCGAGUUUCUGGAGUAUGAAAGUAUCUUCAGAGGACAUUAGCCAAAUAAAUUGUGAUUUAAUAUCUAAACCACUAAAAUUUUUAAACCGUUGUUUUAUUUCAUUUAAAAAGUUGAAACGAAUAUUUGAAAGUUUGUGGCACUGAAGAAGAAAAUGAAUUUCAUCCUCAACCUCAGUACCGCACAAUUUACAGAUACGUUCUGACACUGUCAGAUUUUUGUACCUUCCCCUCUCAAUCUCUAAAUCGUGAGCACUGAUACGGAAUUUCGUUAAAUAAU